This is a non-coding RNA of Oryza barthii, 193 nucleotides long. The record is from Rfam. NCBI's taxonomy places the organism in Eukaryota, Viridiplantae, Streptophyta, Magnoliopsida, Poales, Poaceae.
AAUAAACGUAGCCAUAAGUUUAUGUGCCCAACUUUGAUCGUCCAUCUUAUUUGAAUUUUUUUUAUAAUUAGUAUUUUGUGUUAUUAGAUUCUAAAAUAUAGACAAUAGUUUACUCAUGUUUUUUAUUUUUAAAAAAUUUUUAAAUAAGACGAACAAUAAAAGCUGUGUACGAAAACUCAUGGCUAACCUUGUU